ACUAAUUCGAUCCGAUGAGUCAAUGAGAAGCAGAAGCUUUUAAAGAAAAAGGAAAAGUUUAUGCUUCAUCCAAGGGAACUAAGGAGAAACUCUCUCUUUUUCCUGCUGGAUAUUAAUGAAGAAGGAUGCUGACCCAGGAACUUUUGACCACCAUUCUGGCAUCCACGACUGGGAAAAAGUCUGCCUAACUCUACUCUCUCCAGGAAUAGUACUGACAAGCAGAGCAUCCUCAGACGCGUGCUUCAGAUGAGCAAAGGAAGCUCUGAGAGGACGAAUGACCUACCUGAAGCCACACGCAGUACAUGCAUCGGGCCCUGGCUCCCAAUCUGUGAUGGAUCCGAGGAUGGCACUGCCUCUCCAACAGCCCCAGCCUGCAGCACUGACUUCAUCAGGGUCUCCUGGUCCAGAAGAGAGGCAGGCACAGAGGCAACCAAUGACAGAAAUAAGGACAGCAGCUCCCGUGUGUUGACAGCUUCCAUAUUCCAGCAGCUCCCAGCCCAGAAGAUUCUUUUGUGAGAAGUCAUCGUGCCUCCUGCUUCUUCGUUUUCAGAAAUCCUUACAUUCUGCCUGCUUCCAAGCCUUCCUCUCCAGCCUGCCAUCACUGUGCUCCGGGGACCCAGUCUGGGGAACAGCCUCAUACCCUCUCCCACCCUCCAUCAUGCAAGACUGGAAGUCAUCCUGGGCCCUCCUCCAUUAUCCGUCACAUGUGGUCAUUCCCAGAGUUCUGUCCAUCCAUCCCUGUACCUGGAUCUCAGAUUGAUCCUUGGUCUCUGGGGGACACGUGGAUUCGGUUUUUGGCUCUGCCAUUCCUGUGGUGGCUGCUGUAUCAUAGAAGAAUAAGUGGUUGUUGCAGUUGCUGCACACCCCAAAGGCUGAGCACCGGUAAAAGCCAACUCCAAGGCCUAUGAAUGUUUUUUUUUUAGAACAAAGAAUCCCUUCUUCUAUACCAAGAUUAAGGUAAAAACUAAGUAGAAGUUAACUUGAAAAAUCUGUGUUAUAUUUUCCUAAAAUAUUCCCUUCUGAAAGUUCAUCAGAUGAUAGUUUAAGUAAAGCCUUCUGCCUAAACUAUAAUUGCUUGGCCACUGGCUCCUGGGGAAAGAGAUAAUAAGAUUUUCAUUAUAAAUCCUCCAUCUUAGUAGUUUUCUUCUAUAAAAUUCAAGGGCAGAGAUGAUUUUUGAAUGAAAGGGAACCCAGAAAGAAAUCAAACAAGGAUGUAAUUGCCUGCAGCCCCUCUAAGUAGGUUGACAGUUGGCUGCUUGAGUUUUAAGCUUCAUUCAGAAGUUCCUUAUCCUUCCCCUAAAGAAAAAAAAAAUCAGUUGCAAGAAAUUCAUAUAUUCAAUUUACUUGCAUGUCCCUUGGAGAAAACCAUUCAUCAACAACAGAAAAUUCUGUUGAUUUGAUCAGAUCAUAUAUUCCUGUUUAGAGGGCAAAAUGUUGAGAAA
This is a long non-coding RNA of Gorilla gorilla gorilla (western lowland gorilla), 1442 nucleotides long. RefSeq lists it as uncharacterized. The transcript has 5 exons. Lineage: Eukaryota; Metazoa; Chordata; Mammalia; Primates; Hominidae. The record is from RefSeq and is a predicted model, not a curated record.